RNAcentral lists this signal recognition particle RNA (98 nucleotides) under Nitrospira sp. RNAcentral's name for it is "signal recognition particle sRNA small type". It matches the Rfam family "Bacterial small signal recognition particle RNA". From Rfam's summary of the family: The signal recognition particle (SRP) is a universally conserved ribonucleoprotein involved in the co-translational targeting of proteins to membranes. Archaeal SRP consists of a 7S RNA and homologues of the eukaryotic SRP19 and SRP54 proteins. The record is from RNAcentral. Lineage: Bacteria; Pseudomonadati; Nitrospirota; Nitrospiria; Nitrospirales; Nitrospiraceae.
GAAACGGCACUAUGCAAUAGAUAGGUGUGAACCCCGUCAGGUCCGGAAGGAAGCAGCGGUAAACAUUUUAUCUGUGUGACAUAGGACGUCGUUUCCUG